UAUAAUAAUCUUCAAAAAGUUUUAUUAAAUAAAGCAAUAUGAAUGUGAAUAUGAAUAUGAAGCGUAAAAAUGGAAAAAUAGACAAAUACUUUGAAGGUAUUAUGAAACGAACGCACACCGGUAGUGUGGGAUGGGUCGAUGCAGCGCCGGCGCUGCAGAACAUAACCAAGAAGACGAAUAUCCCCACCAAUUCUCUUUAUCGUCGAAACGAUCGCGUCGACGUGUACCCACUUCUCCAUCCAUCUCACGAAACAGAGUGAGAAGAAAACAAUCUCUCUAUCUCUAUCUCUUGUUCUCUUUCCUUCUUACUUUUCAUCUUUGCCUCUUGUCACACGAAUACAGCUCCGCAGAACACUAUACGAAGCACCUCGAACCAGUGUAGAACGGUUUGUAACAAAGUAGAGCCGUUUUCGCGUUUACCUCCUCGUGGGGAAUUAGGAAUUGAAUAAAAUUCACGCAGUGAUGAAGUACUCGCCGCAACAGCAGCAGCAGCAGCAAAAGGAAAGGAAGUCGGAGAGCGACGUUUGCUCGAUUGGCGC
Molecule: long non-coding RNA, 539 nt
Organism: Apis dorsata (giant honeybee)
Lineage: Eukaryota; Metazoa; Arthropoda; Insecta; Hymenoptera; Apidae
Exons: 2
Source: RefSeq, a predicted model, not a curated record